Molecule: long non-coding RNA, 796 nt
Filed under: Olea europaea subsp. europaea
Lineage: Eukaryota; Viridiplantae; Streptophyta; Magnoliopsida; Lamiales; Oleaceae
Source: RNAcentral
CCUCGUCUCAUAUUCAUGACCUUUUGAUAAUCAAGCUUCUUUAAUCACUUUGAAAUGGGUCCAUUCUCUAUCCAAUGUGGCCUUUUAAGAUCAAACACCAAUAAUUGUCCUCUAGAUUGAAUUCUAUCUUUAAAGAAUCUUGACCAUAAGACUUACUGUCAGUUCUGGAGUUGACAUUCCAAUUCUGAAUGGGAGACAGCCAUUUUGUAGGAUCUGUUCGUGAGUGACACAUGACAAAAGAUCGAGGGGAUUCCACUUCUAGAGGGAUAACAGCUUCCACUCUAAUGGCUAGGAAAAAGGCAUAUUUUCGAUCUUGUUCAUGAUGUAGUUCUAUAAGAUCGGAGUAUACUGGGGAGAUCUUUCGUUCAUGCCCCUUUAAUUCAUCGAGUCAAGCAUCCAAGGUGUGCUUGAUAAUGUUGUUUACAGGUUCGACUUAGCCAUUGGUCAGAGGGUGAUAUGGGUAAAGAAGUGCUUAUUAAUUUUUAGCCCUUCAAAGAAGGACAAUAGUCUUGCGUUUUCAAAUUGUAUGACGUUAUUCAUAAAGAUUGAGUACAGGAUACAAAACCUACAGAUGAUGGACUUCCAGAUAAAGUCAUGAUUUUAUAUUUUAUUAUCUUAGCUAGAGGUUCAGCUUUAGCUUCAGCCCACAUAGUAAAGUUAUCUAUCGCAAUUAUAGAAAUGAUACUACCUUUUCAUAGUCAUACGUUUGAUCAAUUAUAUUCCCAACUUUGAGAAAGACCAAGGGCUUAUGAAUGACAUGAGUUCUUGGGACGGGCUUAGAUUAUUGGUAUAAGUC